This 448-nucleotide ribosomal RNA is filed under the name uncultured bacterium. Its description in RNAcentral is "partial 16S ribosomal RNA". It matches the Rfam family "Bacterial small subunit ribosomal RNA", at positions 355 to 793 of the family's 1533-position model. The record is from RNAcentral.
UAGGGAAUCUUCCACAAUGGACGCAAGUCUGAUGGAGCAACGCCGCGUGAGUGAAGAAGGUUUUCGGACCGUAAAGCUCUGUUGUUGGUGAAGAAGGAUAGAGGUAGUAACUGGCCUUUAUUUGACGGUAAUCAACCAGAAAGUCACGGCUAACUACGUGCCAGCAGCCGCGGUAAUACGUAGGUGGCAAGCGUUGUCCGGAUUUAUUGGGCGUAAAGCGAGCGCAGGCGGAAGAAUAAGUCUGAUGUGAAAGCCCUCGGCUUAACCGAGGAAUUGCAUCGGAAACUGUUUUUCUUGAGUGCAGAAGAGGAGAGUAGAACUCCAUGUGUAGCGGUGGAAUGCGUAGAUAUAUGGAAGAAUACCAGUGGCGAAGGCGGCUCUCUGGUCUGCAACUGACGCUGAGGCUCGAAAGCAUGGGUAGCGAACAGGAUUAGAUACCCCUUGGUAG